RNAcentral lists this ribosomal RNA (450 nucleotides) under uncultured Glomeromycotina. Its description in RNAcentral is "SSU rRNA". It matches the Rfam family "Eukaryotic small subunit ribosomal RNA", at positions 569 to 1024 of the family's 1831-position model. The record is from RNAcentral. Lineage: Eukaryota; Fungi; Glomeromycota.
AGCAGCCGCGGUAAUUCCAGCUCCAAUAGCGUAUAUUAAAGUUGUUGCAGUUAAAAAGCUCGUAGUUGAAUUUCGGGGUUAGUAGGUUGGUCAUGCCUCUGGUAUGUACUGGUCUCACUGAUUCCUCCUUCCUGAUGAACCUUAAUGCCAUUUAUUUGGUGUUUUGGGGAAUUUGGACUGUUACUUUGAAAAAUUAGAGUGUUUAAAGCAAGCUAACGCUUGAAUACAUUAGCAUGGAAUAAUGAAAUAGGACGUUCGAUCCUAUUUUGUUGGUUUCUAGGAUUGACGUAAUGAUUAAUAGGGAUAGUUGGGGGCAUUGGUAUUCAAUUGUCAGAGGUGAAAUUCUUGGAUUUAUUGAAGACUAACUACUGCGAAAGCAUAUGCCAAGGAUGUUUUCAUUAAUCAAGAACGAAAGUUAGGGGAUCGAAGACGAUCAGAUACCGUCGUAGU